UGCCAGCAGCCGCGGUAAUACGGAGGGGGUUAGCGUUGUUCGGAAUUACUGGGCGUAAAGCGUACGUAGGCGGAUUAAUAAGUUAGAGGUGAAAUCCCAGGGCUCAACCCUGGAACUGCCUUUAAAACUCCCAGUCUAGAGUUCGAGAGAGGUGAGUGGAACUCCGAGUGUAGAGGCGAAAUUCGUAGAUAUUCGGAAGAACACCAGUGGCGAAGGCGGCUCACUGGCUCGAUACUGACGCUGAGGUGCGAAAGUGUGGGGAGCAAACAGGAUUAGAUA
Molecule: ribosomal RNA, 279 nt
Filed under: uncultured bacterium
Lineage: Bacteria
Description: partial 16S ribosomal RNA
Rfam family: Bacterial small subunit ribosomal RNA
Source: RNAcentral